GAUCGACCUGAAGCACCGCUCUUUUCAACUGGACUUUGACUUGCAGUAUUUUUAACAUUGAUCAUGAGUAGCUGACUCCUUCGGAUCUUCUGCAAAUUUGCUCUGCAACUUUUCAAAAGUGCAGGACUUCAAACAGCCAGGAUCCCGGCCGGAGAGCUGCCUCAUCAGGGAGCUGCACAAGAUGUCAUGACUGCCUGGCCUGGCUGCGGGGACAUUCACAGGCACACUGUACUUGUGAACUUACUGAAUCUUUACAACUCAUGAGAAAGACACCAGAGUUCCACUUACAGAAAAUGUUACAUGGAAAAAAUUCAAAUUAAAGUUG
Long non-coding RNA from Mustela lutreola (European mink), 325 nucleotides. RefSeq lists it as uncharacterized. The record is from RefSeq and is a predicted model, not a curated record. Lineage: Eukaryota; Metazoa; Chordata; Mammalia; Carnivora; Mustelidae. The transcript is spliced from 3 exons.